GACGAACGCUGGCGGCGUGCUUAACACAUGCAAGUCGAACGGAAAGGCCCUGCUUUUGUGGGGUGCUCGAGUGGCGAACGGGUGAGUAACACGUGAGUAACCUGCCCUUGACUUUGGGAUAACUUCAGGAAACUGGGGCUAAUACAGGAUAGGAGCUCCUGCUGCAUGGUGGGGGUUGGAAAGUUUCGGCGGUUGGGGAUGGACUGGCGGCUUAUCAGCUUGUUGGUGUGGUAGUUGCUUACAAAGGCUUUGACGGGUAGCCGGCCUGGGAGGGUGAACGGCCACAUUGGGACUGAGAGAGGGACCAGACUCCUACGGGAGGCAGUAGUGGGGAAUAUUGCACAACGGGCGGAAGCCUGAGGCAGCAACGCCGCGUGCGGGAUGACGGCCUUCGGGUUGUAAACCGCUUUCGCCUGUGACGAAGCGUGAGUGACGGUAAUGGGUAAAGAAGCACCGGCUAACUACGUG
Molecule: ribosomal RNA, 468 nt
Filed under: uncultured bacterium
Lineage: Bacteria
Description: partial 16S ribosomal RNA
Rfam family: Bacterial small subunit ribosomal RNA
Source: RNAcentral